RNAcentral lists this ribosomal RNA (425 nucleotides) under uncultured bacterium. RNAcentral describes it as "partial 16S ribosomal RNA". It matches the Rfam family "Bacterial small subunit ribosomal RNA", at positions 354 to 796 of the family's 1533-position model. The record is from RNAcentral.
GUUAGGAAUAUUGGACAAUGGGCGCAAGCCUGAUCCUGCCAUGCCGCGUGAGUGAUGAAGGCCUUCGGGUUGUAAAGCUCUUUAGCCGAUGAUUAUAAUGACUGUAGUCGGAAAAUAAGCCCCGGCUAACUUCGUGCCAGCAGCCGCGGUAAUACGAAGGGGGCGAGCGUUAUUCGGAAUCACUGGGCGUAAAGCGUGCGUAGGCGGCUUUGCAAGUUGGGAGUGAAAGCCCAGGGCUCAACCCUGGAAUUGCUCUCAAAACUGCAAGGCUCGAAUUCGGGAGAGGAUAGCGGAAUUGUCAGUGUAGCAGUGAAAUGCGUAGAUAUUGACAGGAACACCAGUGGCGUAAGCGGCUAUCUGGACCGAUAUUGACGCUGAGGCACGAAAGCGUGGGGAUCAAACAGGAUUAGAUACCCUUGUAGUCC